AAAUUUUAAUAAGGGCAGGGGUAGUUAAAUCUCAUUUAGUGAAAUUCCGUAUAAUUAGAAAGAAAGAAAAGAUUUUAUUGGUUGCAUCAUCGGUCAGUCACGAAAAUUGCUUGACAUAAAUAUUUUGAUAGACGACAAUGAGCAACAAAAAGAAAGAAGUUAAGGCUAAUACAAAAUCAUUCUCGGGGCAUGAUUAUGACAGGUAUGGUAUUAGAAUUCAAAAUUUAAGACUACUAAGGAUUUUGGCGUUUUGAAUCAGAAUGCUAGCAAGCCAUGCCAAAAUAAGAAUAAGCUAUUUUGGAGAUUUCUCGAUGGAGUAAUUUGUAUUUGGAUUAUGAUUAAAUUAGAUUUUGACUGAUGUUAAGUGGAGUACUAGCAAUGGAAUAUUAAAGUACAUUGUGAUUAUUUAUGUAUCAGUAUAUAGGUGAUAUUGGAAGUUUAACUUGAUACUGGGUACCGUGGAUGAUACUUCUAGUUUGAAGUUAAUUAUUUUGAUGGCAAGAUAGGGUUUAUUCAUAAGUUGUUUCAGGCUUGGACAAGGAAAGGUUUUAUAUUCUUCGAGGAUGAAAUUUGUAUGACAAUUAUGCAUGAAACUAUUAUAUAGAAAGAAAGUAUAUUUGAAAGGGGUUUGAAGUUUUGCUAGGAUAAAAGUUGAUCAUUAAAUUGUAGGCAAAGUUAAAAGAAGAAAGAGGAUUAUAGAUUAUGAAAAGUAUUUGAUGCUAAUGCUCUCACCUAUUUCUGUUAAGCCGAUUAAGAUCUUUGUAUGGACUUAAUCAAAAGCAAUUAAUUUCUUGGGCCAAGGAUUAUAGUAUUUAAAAUCUAAGGUAGGAAGACCAAUCUUGUUUUGGAAGAGACCAAAGGAACUCCUAUGCAUCAUAGACGAAAAGGGGUCAAGUUUUGAUAUGCCAUGAUUUUGCCAAAAUUUUAUGAGCAAGCAUUUUAAGAGGGAGACUAACUGAGAUCUCGAGGAUGACUCGAUGGUUGAAUACUUUUAAAAUCUGAACCUUAAGGUAUGACUAAUUUCGAGGACGAAAUUUAUUUAAGGGGGGAAGAAUGUAAUACCUGGGCCCAAAAAUCAACUGGGCCCAAUACGCCUUUUUGGGCCCAUAUUCGAGCAUUGGGCCAUGACAUCUAAUAGACUAACUGG
This 1147-nucleotide long non-coding RNA is filed under the name Phoenix dactylifera (date palm). RNAcentral's name for it is "long non-coding RNA (PDAC_LNC014621)". The record is from RNAcentral. Lineage: Eukaryota; Viridiplantae; Streptophyta; Magnoliopsida; Arecales; Arecaceae.